Molecule: long non-coding RNA, 1933 nt
Filed under: Panax ginseng (ginseng)
Lineage: Eukaryota; Viridiplantae; Streptophyta; Magnoliopsida; Apiales; Araliaceae
Description: long non-coding RNA (PGIN_LNC000293)
Source: RNAcentral
CAGUAUCCUUUAUACUUUAGAUAACUCAAACCUUACAACUCAACAUAAAAUAAACAUCAUAAACCAUUAAGUACAUCUCCAGAAUAUUAAACAUGGUUAAAAGGAAUAACAACUUUAGCUAAAAUAUUUAAUCUUCAUUAUAUCUGAUCCACAUCAUUCAAGUAGCACAUAGCGUUACUGUGACGCCCCCAAAAUAGGUCCACACGACCCAUUCUGAGUCGCCAGAUAUCACUCUAUAAAAAUCAAAUACAAACUUCAUUUAUACAACUGUUGAACUGUCGUGCAGUGUACGAUAACAGAUAAGCUGUGAGUUUUAAUACAAUAUUGUCUCGUAGACAGUAUUCAAACUCAAAUUGUUACAAUGCCAUAUAAAAUACAAUAGCAAAUAUUUUAAGACCCCAAAGAAGACGAGAAGAUUACAAUCAUAUUCAUUCUAAUGAGGUGCAUUUUUUUUUUUUUUGCUAAAUUUGUUUGUAUAUUAAUUUGCAAAAACUUUAAAUAUUACAAUAAAGAUCAUAGCAUAGUCCUCUUCUCCCGAGAGAACUAAAAUACCUAGAGAACCUAGGAAACAUUUUACCUAACCUAAUUGUAUAUUCCUCACAUUCUGAGAUUAGAUAAAUUGAACACUUAAAUUACAAUAAGAAACAAACACCACGGAAUAGGCUCAAUAACCAUCCGGGAAAGCAGCCCAAGCAGGUGAACUAAGAGAGCCCACGAGUUAAGCAACCCAUCCCACGUGAGCAAAUAGCAAAUGUAGUAUAAAAUAUAGUCCACGCAAGGCAGUAAACUACUGAAAUGGGAAUAAUAUGAAACAAUUGAGGGCGGGACAUCAACCAAUAUAGAAAGUCAAAUUUCAAAUUAGCCAUAUGGGACCCCUAAGUCAGCAACACAAACCACAAUGGUAAAGUCAGCUGAGAUCAGCACCACGUGGCCCCCAAAAGGAAUAGACCGGCGAAUUGCCAUUGACUGGCCUGAAAAUCUUCGGCGAGCUGCAUCGAAAAACAUAGGACCUAGCCCAGAUUCUGACAACCCAAGCCAUAGAUUCUGGCCAGAACAUCAGCAGCAAAACCGAAAGUUACCUCCACAGUCAGUCGAACAAUACGGAUUAAAAUGGAAAAGGCAAAAUCUAGAGCAACAACGAUGCUCCGUCAAACAUCCCCAAAAUCUGAGAACCAAGAGAUAUGGACAAUAGAGACCAACCCAGAUCAGAGGAAACAUAGAAACAAGAUCUGUUGAGAAAGACAGAUCCAAAUCUACAGAUAAGGACCAGAUUCGAAAACAAUCCUAGAAUCUGGCCAAGAAAACCCAUCACACGAAAAUUAUAUCUUAAAAUUGGACAUAGUCAAAAUGAUUUUCGUUGAAGAACACACAAGGAUGAAGGAAACAUCCUUGCACAGACCACCAAACAACACUUCAGCCACAAAAUAAGCAGAUUUGAAAUGGUCCAGCAACCAAAAACCGAACCCAACCCCAGAACAAUUCCUCCUCAUCAGAUCAUGACUCCCAGCCUAGCACGCACAGGAUCAUCACUCCUACUAGUCUUGUAAGAAAACCCCAUAAUCUAUAAGCCCCUCGGACUCGCCUUAGCAUAGAUCGUCAAUGAGAGUUUCGAUGGUUCAUAUUGUAGCUGCCGGUAAGGCUCAACAGAACCAAGUGAAUCAAAGAGGUGAGAGAAGGAAGGGAAAGAAUCAAACUGCUGCCAUCUCAAACCAGACCCAAAACAUUCCAAAACCAUCUAGUUCAGAUCCGAGAGAAUGGGUGGGCCGCAGAAUGGAGGGGAAAAUUGGGGUGCAAGGAGGAGAAUGGACGGAAGUUGAAGGAGAGGUGGGGAGAGGGGGGGGUUUGCUAGAGAGAAGGAGGAGCUUCUCUCUCUACCCUGCUUGGAGCCCUCUAUCUUCUAGUAGUAUGAGCUGCACUUUUGACGCUUUCAAAG